CCUACGGGCAGCAGCAGUGGGGAAUAUUGCACAAUGGGGGAAACUCUGAUGCAGCGACGCCGCGUGAGUGAAGAAGUAUCUCGGUACGUAAAGCUCUAUCAGCAGGGAAGAAAAUGACGGUACCUGCCUACGAAUCCCCGGCUAACUACUUCCCAGCAGCAGCGGUAAUACGUAGGGGGCAGGCGUUAUCCGGAUUUACUGGUGGUAAAGGGAGCGUCGACGGAGGUGCAACUCUGAAGUGAAAGGCGGGGGCCCAACCCCCGGAUUGCUUUGGAAACUGGUUGGCUGGAGUGCAGGAGAGGUAAGUGGAAUUCCUAGUGUAGCGGUGAAAUGCGUAGAGAUUAGGAGGAACACCAGUGGCGAAGGCGGCUUACUGGACUGUAACUGACGUUGAGGCUCGAAAGUGUGGGUAUCAAACAGGAUUAGAUACCCUUGUAGUC
This 440-nucleotide ribosomal RNA is filed under the name uncultured bacterium. Its description in RNAcentral is "partial 16S ribosomal RNA". It matches the Rfam family "Bacterial small subunit ribosomal RNA", at positions 338 to 795 of the family's 1533-position model. The record is from RNAcentral.